RNAcentral lists this ribosomal RNA (411 nucleotides) under uncultured bacterium. RNAcentral's name for it is "bacterial SSU rRNA". It matches the Rfam family "Bacterial small subunit ribosomal RNA", at positions 28 to 402 of the family's 1533-position model. The record is from RNAcentral.
GACGAACGCUGGCGGCGUGCCUAAUACAUGCAAGUCGAACGCACUCUCGUUUAGAUUGAAGGAGCUUGCUCCUGAUUGAUAAACAUUUGAGUGAGUGGCGGACGGGUGAGUAACACGUGGGUAACCUGCCCUAAAGUGGGGGAUAACAUUUGGAAACAGAUGCUAAUACCGCAUAAAACCUAAACACCGCAUGGUGUAGGGUUGAAAGAUGGUUUCGGCUAUCACUUUAGGAUGGACCCGCGGUGCAUUAGUUAGUUGGUUGAGGUAAAGGCUCACCAAGACCGUGAUGCAUAGCCGACCUGAGAGGGUAAAUCGGCCACACUGGGACUGAGACACGGCCCAGACUCCUACGGGAGGCAGCAGUAGGGAAUCUUCCACAAUGGACGAAAGUCUGAUGGAGCAACGCCGCGU